Sugiyamaella lignohabitans is the source of this 72-nucleotide transfer RNA. It matches the Rfam family "tRNA". Rfam says of the family: Transfer RNA (tRNA) molecules are approximately 80 nucleotides in length. Lineage: Eukaryota; Fungi; Ascomycota; Dipodascomycetes; Dipodascales; Trichomonascaceae. The record is from Rfam.
UCCGCAAUAGUUUAAUGGCUAGAAUCUCCGCCUGUCACGCGGGAGAUCUGGGUUCGAUUCCCAGUUGCGGAG